ACACUCCUGCGGGAGGCAGCAGUGGGGAAUUUUGGACAAUGGGCGAAAGCCUGAUCCAGCAAUGCCGCGUGAGUGAAGAAGGCCUUCGGGUUGUAAAGCUCUUUUGUCAGGGAAGAAACGGUGAGAGCUAAUAUCUUUUGCUAAUGACGGUACCUGAAGAAUAAGCACCGGCUAACUACGUGCCAGCAGCCGCGGUAAUACGUAGGGUGCAAGCGUUAAUCGGAAUUACUGGGCGUAAAGCGUGCGCAGGCGGUUUUGUAAGUCUGAUGUGAAAUCCCCGGGCUCAACCUGGGAAUUGCAUUGGAGGCUGCAAGGCUAGAAUCUGGCAGAGGGGGGUAGAAUUCCACGUGUAGCAGUGAAAUGCGUAGAUAUGUGGAGGAACACCGAUGGCGAAGGCAGCCCCCUGGGUCAAGAUUGACGCUCAUGCACGAAAGCGUGGGGAGCAAACAGGAUUAGAUACCCCAGUAGUCCCAUGAU
This 477-nucleotide ribosomal RNA is filed under the name uncultured organism. RNAcentral describes it as "partial 16S ribosomal RNA". It matches the Rfam family "Bacterial small subunit ribosomal RNA", at positions 333 to 801 of the family's 1533-position model. The record is from RNAcentral.